ACGCUGAUCUCUUGUGACAGCUGUUCCCGAGGCAGGCAGGCGGCGUGGAAGGGAUCGUCAUCCAGCCAGGGAUGGGUGGAGGAGGAAGAGCAGGGUGAUGUUGAAAAGCUUCAUGACCCACUUGUCUGGCGGUGCUGCUGGAAUGUAGCGCACAAGGAGCGCGAUCCGCAACCUGCAUUAAGCAGGGCAAGUAACUGGACAAAGCUAUAAAGUGAUUGGGAGGAAAGGCAUCAGCAAUCCAGCCGGCUUCAUCCUCGUCUCCGUGCUAUGAUCUUCCGCCUCAGGCGUUUGACGCCAGGGUACUUCCGCCUGCUACAGAUGCAGUUGGCCAGUGGGCCUGAAUCUGAACCUCAGGACCGGCUGAUGAAUCAGUUGGCGCUGCUCUUGGCCAUUAUGGGAUUGAGCCUGUCCUGCUACAGCGCACGGCAAAUGAGUGAAGAGACCAAGCCACAUCCGGAGCCCUGACCCUCAGCCACUGGGCAGGAGGGACCCAGCAUAAAAGAAGAUCCCAGCAAAGGAGACAGAAGCAAAGGGAAGUUGGAGACUCGGAUGUCUCCUUGGCAGUACAAGACAUAUUUUUAGGUACACUUAGCAUGCCUUGUCUGGGAUGUGUGUCUUAGAAGCAUCAUCAUCACCAGUCCUUUCUAGUGUGAUCGAAGGCUUGCUCCUGGUGCCCUUUCCAGCAGUACUGAACUCCAUUCUCCGAGACCCUCACUAAAAAAGGAGGAUAUACCAA
Anolis sagrei ordinatus is the source of this 736-nucleotide long non-coding RNA. RefSeq lists it as uncharacterized. NCBI's taxonomy places the organism in Eukaryota, Metazoa, Chordata, Lepidosauria, Squamata, Anolidae. The record is from RefSeq and is a predicted model, not a curated record.